CCAAUAGCGUAUAUUAAAGUUGUUGCAGUUAAAAAGCUCGUAGUUGAAUUUCGGGGUCAACAAGUUGGUCGUGCCACUGGUAUGCACUGGCUUUGCUGAUUCCUCCUUCUUGUAGAACCGUAAUGCCAUGAAGUUGGUGUUGCGGGAAAACAGGACUGUUACUUUGAAAAAAUUAGAGUGUUUAAAGCAGGCUAACGCUUGAAUACAUUAGCCGGGAAUAAUGAAAUAGGACGACGAUCCUAUUUUGUUGGUUUCUAGGAUUGACGUAAUGAUUAAUAGGGAUAGUUGGGGGCAUUAGUAUUCAAUUGUCAGAGGUGAAAUUCUUGGAUUUAUUGAAGACUGACUACUGCGAAAGCAUUUGCCAAGGAUGUUUUCAUUAAUCAAGAACGAAAGUUAGGGGAUCGAAGACGAUCAGAUACCGUCGUAGUCUUAACCAUAAACUAUGCCGACUAGGGAUCGGAUGAUGUUAAUUUUUUAAUGACUCAUUCGGCGCCUUACG
This 499-nucleotide ribosomal RNA is filed under the name uncultured Glomus. RNAcentral's name for it is "SSU rRNA". It matches the Rfam family "Eukaryotic small subunit ribosomal RNA", at positions 591 to 1092 of the family's 1831-position model. The record is from RNAcentral. Lineage: Eukaryota; Fungi; Glomeromycota; Glomeromycetes; Glomerales; Glomeraceae.